UGUCAGAAAUGGAUUUUUUGAUGACAAAAAAAGUUUUCUCUGGAAAAGAAUCAUUUUACUUUCCACUAAACUAACGGCAUAAUAGGUAAUGCCUUUUUUUUUUUUUUCUUGUUUUUCAUUUUCUUUGUUAGAACCAAGUCCGUGAGUUCUGAGUUGGAAGCAGCGGCAUCUGCUGUUGCAGAUUUUCUCCCUUUUGAUAAGCAGACAACCAAGUCAGAGCUGCUCAGGCAACUCCAGCAGCAUGAGGAAGUCUCAAAGGCACAGAAAGAUGGAGAAAGAACUAAAAUUAGUGUCAGUAACAUAAUAUCAGAUAUGAAAGUUGCCAAAUCUGCCACAGGUAGAGUUAGUACAAGACCAGUGCAUCAAAUUCAAUUUGAUGAAGGAACUGACCGUUUCAUGGGACAGAAGACUGAUGAUCUUAAGAAAAGGUACUCUGGCUUUGCAGUCUGUUUGGUUUUGUUAGUUUUAUUUGUUUCUCUGUAGAUUUACUUUAUUCUGUGCAUGUUAUUGCUGAUAGGUAUUUGAGCAUUAUGGAUGCAUUUAUAUCUCUCUUCUCACCCUGCAUGUACCAUUUCCUGUAGAGGAAACAAUGUUCUGGAUUUAGUAGUCUUGUGCUUUUCUAUACCAUUAAUCACAUUGGGUCCUGCCUCCUAUUUAUCCCUGAUGAGUAGAGGUCUCCUGAUUUAAGGUAAGUGGAACUGAUUGAAUUCUGAACAAAUGAGCACUUGUGAGAAGCAUUAUUUUUCAUUCUGAUAUGUACAUAACAAUAUUUAUAUAAUUUUUCUAUCUCUAUAUAAUUAUUAAUAUUCAUACCCUAGAGAAAUAAUCCACCAUC
Molecule: long non-coding RNA, 835 nt
Organism: Lontra canadensis (Northern American river otter)
Lineage: Eukaryota; Metazoa; Chordata; Mammalia; Carnivora; Mustelidae
Exons: 2
Source: RefSeq, a predicted model, not a curated record